UAGUACAACCGAGGUGCGGAGGGCUGUCGCUGACUUUUUGUCGUGCACGCCCGAAGCGCUCUCACACAAUAUCCAUCUCACCCAUUUGUGCAUCAUCGCGUGGGUCCUGCUUUUUGGCUUGUUCCGAGGGGGUGACCUGCGUUUUUACAUAGACACCCUUUGAAUGCAUGUGUAGAACGUCUUACUUUUUGCGAUCACACGCAAUCAAUA
RNAcentral lists this unclassified non-coding RNA (210 nucleotides) under uncultured Russula. RNAcentral's name for it is "sequence contains ITS1". The record is from RNAcentral. Lineage: Eukaryota; Fungi; Basidiomycota; Agaricomycetes; Russulales; Russulaceae.